This 235-nucleotide long non-coding RNA is filed under the name Elaeis guineensis (African oil palm). RNAcentral describes it as "long non-coding RNA (EGUI_LNC054714)". Lineage: Eukaryota; Viridiplantae; Streptophyta; Magnoliopsida; Arecales; Arecaceae. The record is from RNAcentral.
UGCCUGGCCUCUACCGAUAUCCACUUGGGUAGGACCUGAAAUGUCUUCUCAUCACAAAUUUAUGCUCCACAAAUUAGAUCUAAAUCUGAUUAGGAAGAUCUUCAAAAGUCUUCCUAAAGUUGGAACAGCAGCCUGUCGAAGAAGUCCUGCAGCCUUUUGUUCCAAGCGUCACCACGCCUUGGAUCUUUGCCAGAUGGAUGUCCAACUCUUUGGAUAUGAAGAGGGGAGGAAGGAG